Molecule: ribosomal RNA, 321 nt
Filed under: Triticum aestivum (bread wheat)
Lineage: Eukaryota; Viridiplantae; Streptophyta; Magnoliopsida; Poales; Poaceae
Description: partial small subunit ribosomal RNA
Source: RNAcentral
AUGAAUGAAACUGGUGAGGAGCAGCUAAUGAAAUCUGAAACUGGAGAAGUUGAAGUUGCAUGCAAGAUAGUACACCGUACUCUAUUUCUACAAAAUGUUGAAGCUUCCAAGCGGAUGGAGAAUGAUACAUCUACAGGAAGGCCAUCUGUAGAAAGCAACAUCAUUAUCUUUAACCAACAACUGAACUACAGCAGCAUCGCACUAACAUCAGUUAGACGGCGAGGCAGGACGCAACAACAGCAGCUAGCAGCAACCAACAAAUGUAGGCUAGGUCAUGACGGCGGCAUCGAGAUGGAGGAGGUGUCGGGCCAUGGCAGUUAA